AAUGGGCGCAAGCCUGAUGGAGCAACACCGCGUGAGUGAAGAAGGGUUUCGGCUCGUAAAACUCUGUUGUUGGAGAAGAACGUGCGUAAGAGUAACUGUUUACGCAGUGACGGUAUCCAACCAGAAAGUCACGGCUAACUACGUGCCAGCAGCCGCGGUAAUACGUAGGUGGCAAGCGUUAUCCGGAUUUAUUGGGCGUAAAGCGAGCGCAGGCGGUUGCUUAGGUCUGAUGUGAAAGCCUUCGGCUUAACCGAAGAAGUGCAUCGGAAACCGGGCGACUUGAGUGCAGAAGAGGACAGUGGAACUCCAUGUGUAGCGGUGGAAUGCGUAGAUAUAUGGAAGAACACCAGUGGCGAAGGCGGCUGUCUGGUCUGCAACUGACGCUGAGGCUCGAAAGCAUGGGUAGCGAACAGGAUUAGAUACCCUGGUAGUCCAUGCCGUAAACGAUGAGUGCUAGGUGUUGGAGGGUUUCCGCCCUUCAGUGCCGAAGCUAACGCAUUAAGCACUCCGCCUGGGGAGUACGACCGCAAGGUUGAAACUCAAAGGAAUUGACGGGGGCCCGCACAAGCGGUGGAGCAUGUGGUUUAAUUCGAAGCUACGCGAAGAACCUUACCAGGUCUUGACAUCUUGCGCCACCUCAGAGAUGAGGCGUUCCCUUCGGGGACGC
RNAcentral lists this ribosomal RNA (667 nucleotides) under Limosilactobacillus oris. RNAcentral describes it as "bacterial SSU rRNA". It matches the Rfam family "Bacterial small subunit ribosomal RNA", at positions 370 to 1029 of the family's 1533-position model. Lineage: Bacteria; Bacillati; Bacillota; Bacilli; Lactobacillales; Lactobacillaceae. The record is from RNAcentral.